CCGACGGGUGAGUAACACGUAUCCAACCUGCCGUCUGCUCUUGGCCAGCCUUCUGAAGGAAGAUUAAUCCAAGAUGGCAUCAUGAGUUCACAUGUCCGCAUGAUUAAAGGUAUUUUCCGGUAGACGAUGGGGAUGCGUUCCAUUAGAUAGUAGGCGGGGUAACGGCCCACCUAGUCAACGAUGGAUAGGGGUUCUGAGAGGAAGGUCCCCCACAUUGGAACUGAGACACGGUCCAA
RNAcentral lists this ribosomal RNA (236 nucleotides) under uncultured bacterium. RNAcentral describes it as "partial 16S ribosomal RNA". It matches the Rfam family "Bacterial small subunit ribosomal RNA", at positions 102 to 334 of the family's 1533-position model. The record is from RNAcentral.